ACUGAGAUUGAUUCUGUCUUUUAAAAUUAAUUAAUUUUAUUAAUAUUAAAUACAAGUUUUUGCGUGUUAUUAUUUAUCUUAAGGAUAAAAUCGAUUAUUUGUAGUUUUUAAUUUUGGGUUUUAUACAUAAUUGUAGAUUCAGUUAAUUAGUUUAGAUCUGUUUAAAGUUGUGCCAGCAAACGCGGUUACACAUCUAGGUCAAGUUAAUUUUUUUGGUUUGUAUUUAUUAAUUUUUUUUAGAUAUUUAAUUUAUUUUUUAAGGUGAAAUUUUUAAUUUAGAUUAUAUUUUCUUGGUUUAAGAUUAUACGAAAUUUGGGUAAAAGACUAGGAUUAGAUACCCUAUUAUUCCAAAUGUAAAUUACACAACCAUAGUACUAAUAGUUACGAUCUUUAAAUUAAAAGAAUUUGGCGGUAAUUUAGUCUUUUCAGAGGAACCUGUCCUGUAAUCGAUGAUCCACGUUAUAUUUAACUUUAAUUUUGUUUGUAUAUCUCUGUCAUUGAAUGUUUUAAUAGAAUAUUUUCUUAAAUCAUUAAAUUUGAAAAAUGUCAGGUCAAGGUGCAGCUAUAUUAAAGGUUGAGAUGGGUUACAUUUAAUGUUAUUUAUUGGAUUAUUUUAAAUUGGAUUAUAUUAAUAUCAAAAAGGAUUUGAAAGUAAUUAUUAUUAUUUUUUAAUAAUGAUUUUAGCUCUAGAUUAUGCACACAUCGCCCGUCGCUUUCAUUAAUAAGGUGAAAUAAGUCGUAACAAAGUAAUUUUACUGGAAAGUGAAGUUAGAAAUAA
Molecule: non-coding RNA, 778 nt
Filed under: Enoplops sibiricus
Lineage: Eukaryota; Metazoa; Arthropoda; Insecta; Hemiptera; Coreidae
Source: RNAcentral